UUGGCUUAGAAGCAGCCAUCAUUUAAAGAGUGCGUAAUUGCUCACUAGUCAAGUGAUUUUGCGCCGAUAAUUAGCGGGACUAUUAACCCUGAUACCGAAGCUUUGAUUCUCUCGCUUAUGGCGAGGGAAGGUAGGGGAGCGUUCCAUUAACCAAUGAAGGUCAAUCGCGAGGUUGGCUGGAGGAGAUGGAAAUGAGUAUGCUGGCAUUAGUAGCGAUAAUUCCGGUGAGAUUCCGGAACACCGAAAGCCUAAGGUUUCCUGAGUAAAGUAACUCUGCUCAGGGUUAGUCGGGCCCUAAGCCGAGCCCCGAACUAUCGGGGGUAGGUGAUGGAUAACAGGUUGAAUAUUCCUGUACCAUCUGUUUGCCGUUUGAACUAUGGGGUGACGCAGAAGUGAAAGGUCAGCCGGGUGUUGAAUGUCCCGGUUUAAGCAGGUAGAGGGAUCUGAUUGGCAAAUCCGUCAGAUCAUAACCUUGAGAUGCGAAUAGGAGUCCCUCGGACACAAACUGACCCUAAACCAGCUGACAAGAAAAGCCUCUAUGUUAGGUGAACGGAUGUCCGUACCAUAAACCGACACAGGUGGGCGAGGAGAGUAUCCUAAGGUGCGCGAGAUAGCUCUGGUUAAGGAACUAGGCAAAUUGGCCCCGUAACUUCGGAAUAUGGGGUGCCUCGAGUAAGUGAAGCUUACUAUUUCGAUAGACAGGCGGAGCUGAAAGAGGUCGCAGUGAAGAGGUCCAAGCGACUGUUUACUAAAAACACAUGUCUCUGCUAAGUCGUAAGACGACGUAUAGGGACUGACACCUGCCCGGUGCUGGAAGGUUAAGGGGACGAGUCAUCCCGCUUCGGCGGGGGAAGCUCCGAACUGAAGCCCCAGUAAACGGCGGCCGUAACUAUAACGGUCCUAAGGUAGCGAAAUUCCUUGUCGGGUAAGUUCCGACCCGCACGAAUGGUGUAACGAUUUGGACACUGUCUCGACCAGAGCCUCGGCGAACUUGUAAUGCCGGUGAAGAUGCCGGUUUCCCGCAGCUGGACAGGAAGACCCCGGAACCUUUACUAUAGCUUGGCAUUGGGUUUUGGGUUUAUAUGUGUAGGAUAGGUGGGAGACGUUGAAGUCCCGACGCCAGUCGGGAUGGAGUCAACCUUGAAAUACCACCCUUAUAAAUCUAGAAUUCUAAUCCCGACCCCUGAAGCGGGGCGGGAGACAUUGUCAGGUGGGUAGUUUAACUGGGGCGGUUGCCUCCUAAAAUGUAACGGAGGCUCCCAAAGGUUCCCUCAGCACGUUUGGUAAUCGUGCGCCGAGUGUAAAGGCAUAAGGGAGCUUAACUGUGAGACAAACAAGUCGAGCAGAUGCGAAAGCAGGGCUUAGUGAUCCGGUGGUUGCUUAUGGAAGCGCCAUCGCUCAAAGGAUAAAAGGUACUCCGGGGAUAACAGGCUGAUCUCCCCCAAGAGUUCAUAUCGACGGGGAGGUUUGGCACCUCGAUGUCGGCUCGUCACAUCCUGGGGCUGGAGAAGGUCCCAAGGGUUGGGCUGUUCGCCCAUUAAAGUGGCACGUGAGCUGGGUUUAGAACGUCGUGAGACAGUUCGGUCCUUAUCCGCUGUGGGCGCAGGAGAUUUGCGGGGGGCUACUCUUAGUACGAGAGGACCAGAGUGGACGAACCUCUGGUGCACCAGUUGUGCCGUCAGGUGCAUCGCUGGGUAGCUAUGUUCGGUCAGGAUAAACGCUGAAAGCAUAUAAGCGUGAAACCUUCCCCAAGAUGAUAUCUCCCUUCCGUUUCGGCGGAACUAAAGGCUUCCCGUAGACUACGGGAUUGAUAGGUCACAGGUGUACGAUCAGUAAUGAUUUUAGCCGAGUGAUACUAAUAAGCCGUGCGUCUUGACCAA
This 1880-nucleotide ribosomal RNA is filed under the name Fidelibacterota bacterium. RNAcentral's name for it is "partial 23S ribosomal RNA". It matches the Rfam family "Bacterial large subunit ribosomal RNA", at positions 1101 to 2925 of the family's 2925-position model. Lineage: Bacteria; Pseudomonadati; Fidelibacterota. The record is from RNAcentral. RNAcentral also lists the same sequence under 1 other name.